Molecule: long non-coding RNA, 194 nt
Organism: Hibiscus syriacus
Lineage: Eukaryota; Viridiplantae; Streptophyta; Magnoliopsida; Malvales; Malvaceae
Exons: 3
Source: RefSeq, a predicted model, not a curated record
UAAAUAAAUAUUACAAAAAAAAUAUUAUUGGUACGCACAUUUACAUUAAUAGAAUCUGAUAUCCUAAACUCCCAUAGCAACACUUUGUUUUUAUCAAAGAACUUCUAUGAGUUCCCAUCAAUGGAAGCUAGAGUCACUACCCCACCAUUUUUGUCAAUGUUCCUUCAAGCAUCCUUUCCCAUCGACCAAUACAG